GAUGAACGCUGGCGGCGUGCCUAAUACAUGCAAGUCGAGCGAACAGAUGAGGAGCUUGCUCCUCUGACGUUAGCGGCGGACGGGUGAGUAACACGUGGAUAACCUACCUAUAAGACUGGGAUAACUUCGGGAAACCGGAGCUAAUACCGGAUAAUAUAUUGAACCGCAUGGUUCAAUAGUGAAAGACGGUUUUGCUGUCACUUAUAGAUGGAUCCGCGCCGCAUUAGCUAGUUGGUAAGGUAACGGCUCACCAAGGCAACGAUGCGUAGCCGACCUGAGAGGGUGAUCGGCCACACUGGAACUGAGACACGGUCCAGACUCCUACGGGAGGCAGCAGUAGGGAAUCUUCCGCAAUGGGCGAAAGCUUGACGGAGCAACGCCGCGUGAGUGAUGAAGGUCUUCGGAUCGUAAAACUCUGUUAUUAGGGAAGAACAAAUGUGUAAGUAACUAUGCACGUCUUGACGGUACCUAAUCAGAAAGCCACGGCUAACUACGUG
Molecule: ribosomal RNA, 497 nt
Filed under: uncultured bacterium
Lineage: Bacteria
Description: partial 16S ribosomal RNA
Rfam family: Bacterial small subunit ribosomal RNA
Source: RNAcentral